RNAcentral lists this long non-coding RNA (546 nucleotides) under Callithrix jacchus (white-tufted-ear marmoset). RNAcentral describes it as "lncRNA (ENSCJAG00000076418.1)". The record is from RNAcentral. Lineage: Eukaryota; Metazoa; Chordata; Mammalia; Primates; Cebidae.
AUUGGAUCAUGCAGGAAACCACAGAAAUCACAUUAUUUUGCAUUUUGGCUUUGGAAACAAGCCACGCUUUGAGUACACUCAGGAAGAAUUAGCAAAACUGAUCCUGCCAUAAACAAUACAACCCAAAGAGUUCUUUCCUGAGACUGAAAUUUUUGGCUCGGAAGAGAGAAGGAUGGUGAAGAAUACAGCUUAGGAGGUGAUCUAGCUGAGAAAGUUGCAGUUGGAUUAGAGUCAAAAGUUCCAGAGCAGCAGUCCCAAGGAAGAAGAGUAUGCAGAAAUGAGGCAUUUGGCUGCUUAAGAAAUCAAAAGACAGACACAAAAACAGGUUUGAAUAGAAGUCCACAUUCCAACAAACUCGUUUUCUUCACUAUCUCACUAUCUUUUGUGGAGAUUCAAAGACAUAGGAUUUUUUACUUACUGCUUGUAAAAAAAAAAAAAAUGGUAAAAUAAGAUAAAAUUGCGACUAUUUUUUUCUCAGAGCUUUAGCAAAAUGAACUUUACUUUCUAGAUGUUAUCUGUGGAGUUUACUCCCAUAUUACAAUGAAU